RNAcentral lists this long non-coding RNA (366 nucleotides) under Mytilus galloprovincialis (Mediterranean mussel). The record is from RNAcentral. Lineage: Eukaryota; Metazoa; Mollusca; Bivalvia; Mytilida; Mytilidae.
CCUUGUUUUGUACCUGUACAUGAAGUAUACAUAUACAAUAGGGUCUAUCAUGUUAAGGAUCUGUAUUUCUAGAUCGUUUUUUGUUAUUGUUAAAGUGUUGGUACCUUGAAUGCCCUUUUCGUUGCGUCAAUGUUGCUUAGCAUAUAUUUUGAUUCUCAUGGUGCUUAGGUCCCUAUGUUUGGUGUCCAAAGUCCAUAUAUGUGCCAUAUAUAAGUUUAAUUCAAGUCGUAUAAGCAGAUUUAUACCGUCCUCUGUUUUUUUUAUAUAGCUUUACUGUUUUAUUUACAUGUAUACAAAUAGUAUAACAUGAGUACAGAUUCCAUUUAUUUUGUUGUGUUUAGAGGAACAGAAUUAUGUAUAUUAUAU